RNAcentral lists this ribosomal RNA (400 nucleotides) under uncultured bacterium. RNAcentral describes it as "bacterial SSU rRNA". It matches the Rfam family "Bacterial small subunit ribosomal RNA", at positions 356 to 773 of the family's 1533-position model. The record is from RNAcentral.
GGGGAAUAUUGGACAAUGGGCGCAAGCCUGAUCCAGCCAUGCCGCGUGUGUGAUGAAGGCCUUAGGGUUGUAAAGCACUUUCACCGAUGAAGAUAAUGACGGUAGUCGGAGAAGAAGCCCCGGCUAACUUCGUGCCAGCAGCCGCGGUAAUACGAAGGGGGCUAGCGUUGUUCGGAAUUACUGGGCGUAAAGCGCACGUAGGCGGAUUGGUCAGUUAGGGGUGAAAUCCCAGGGCUCAACCCUGGAACUGCCUUUAAUACUGCCAGUCUUGAGUUCGAGAGAGGUGAGUGGAAUUCCGAGUGUAGAGGUGAAAUUCGUAGAUAUUCGGAGGAACACCAGUGGCGAAGGCGGCUCACUGGCUCGAUACUGACGCUGAGGUGCGAGAGCGUUGGGAGCAAAC